This 884-nucleotide ribosomal RNA is filed under the name Tomentella sp. RNAcentral describes it as "partial large subunit ribosomal RNA". It matches the Rfam family "Eukaryotic large subunit ribosomal RNA", at positions 72 to 941 of the family's 3401-position model. The record is from RNAcentral. Lineage: Eukaryota; Fungi; Basidiomycota; Agaricomycetes; Thelephorales; Thelephoraceae.
GGAUUCCCCUAGUAACUGCGAGUGAAGCGGGAAGAGCUCAAAUUUAAAAUCUGGCGUGCCUCUGGUCGUCCGAGUUGUAGUCUGGAGAAGCGUUUUCCGUGUUGGACCGUGUAUAAGUCUCUUGGAACAGGGCGUCAUAGAGGGUGAGAAUCCCGUCUUUGACACGGACUACCAAUGCUUUGUGAUGCGCUCUCAAAGAGUCGAGUUGUUUGGGAAUGCAGCUCAAAAUGGGUGGUAAAUUCCAUCUAAAGCUAAAUAUAGGCGAGAGACCGAUAGCGAACAAGUACCGUGAGGGAAAGAUGAAAAGCACUUUGGAAAGAGAGUUAAACAGUACGUGAAAUUGCUGAAAGGGAAACGCUUGAAGUCAGUCACGUCUGCCAGGACUCAGCCUUGCUUCUGCUUGGUGUACUUUCUGGUUUGAUGGGCCAACAUCAAUUUUGACCGUUGGAGAAAGGCUUUGGGAAUGUGGCACCUUUGGGUGUGUUAUAGCCCUUUGUCGUAUACAGCGGUUGGGAUUGAGGACUGCAGCACGCCUUCACGGCCGGGGUUCGCCCACGUACGUGCUUGGGAUGUUGGCAUAAUGGCUUUAAGCGACCCGUCUUGAAACACGGACCAAGGAGUCUAACAUGCCUGCGAGUGUUUGGGUGGAAAACCCAUGCGCGUAAUGAAAGUGACAGCUGAGAUCCUCUCAUCAGGAGCAUCAGCGCCUGGACUUGAUCUACGGAGACGGUUCUACGGUAGAGCAUGUAUGUUGGGACCCGAAAGAUGGUGAACUAUGCCUGAAUAGGGUGAAGCCAGAGGAAACUCUGGUGGAGGCUCGUAGCGAUUCUGACGUGCAAAUCGAUCGUCAAAUUUGGGUAUAGGGGCGAAAGACUAAUCGAACC